CAGUCGCCACGGUAAUACGGAGGGUGCAAGCGUUAAUCGGAAUUACUGGGCGUAAAGCGCACGCAGGCGGUCUGACAAGUCAGAUGUGAAAUCCCCGGGCUUAACCUGGGAACUGCAUUUGAAACUGGCAGGCUAGAGUCUUGUAGAGGGGGGUAGAAUUCCAGGUGUAGCGGUGAAAUGCGUAGAGAUCUGGAGGAAUACCGGUGGCGAAGGCGGCCCCCUGGACAAAGACUGACGCUCAGGUGCGAAAGCGUGGGGAGCAAACAGGAUUAGAUACCCGAGUAGUCCCUGUCUCUUAUAC
Molecule: ribosomal RNA, 301 nt
Filed under: uncultured bacterium
Lineage: Bacteria
Description: partial 16S ribosomal RNA
Rfam family: Bacterial small subunit ribosomal RNA
Source: RNAcentral